CCUACGGGCGGCAGCAGUGAGGAAUAUUGGUCAAUGGCCGGAAGGCUGAACCAGCCAUGCCGCGUGAAGGUCAGUGCCCUAUGGGCGUUAAACUUCUUUUGUGCGGGAGCAAUAAUGGUCACGUGUGGCCAGACGAGAGUACCGUACGAAUAAGCAUCGGCUAACUCCGUGCCAGCAGCCGCGGUAAUACGGGGGAUGCAAGCGUUAUCCGGAUUUAUUGGGUGUAAAGGGUGCGUAGGCUGUGAGGUAAGUCAGCGGUGAAAUGCCCCCGCUCAACGGGGUGAAGUGCCAUUGAUACUGCCUGGCUGGAAUGCGGAUGCCGUGGGAGGAAUGUGUGGUGUAGCGGUGAAAUGCAUAGAUAUCACACAGAACACCGAUUGCGAAGGCAUCUCACGAAGCCGCGAUUGACGCUGAUGCACGAAAGCGUGGGUAUCAAACAGGAUUAGAUACCCUUGUAGUC
This 460-nucleotide ribosomal RNA is filed under the name uncultured bacterium. Its description in RNAcentral is "partial 16S ribosomal RNA". It matches the Rfam family "Bacterial small subunit ribosomal RNA", at positions 338 to 795 of the family's 1533-position model. The record is from RNAcentral.